ACUCCUGCGGGAGGCAGCAGUGGGGAAUAUUGCACAAUGGGCGCAAGCCUGAUGCAGCGACGCCGCGUGGGGGAUGAAGGCCUUCGGGUUGUAAACUCCUUUCGCUAGGGACGAAGCUUUUUUGUGACGGUACCUAGAUAAGAAGCACCGGCUAACUACGUGCCAGCAGCCGCGGUAAUACGUAGGGUGCGAGCGUUGUCCGGAAUUACUGGGCGUAAAGGGCUCGUAGGUGGUUUGUCGCGUCGUCUGUGAAAUUCUGGGGCUUAACUCCGGGCGUGCAGGCGAUACGGGCAUAACUUGAGUGCUGUAGGGGUAACUGGAAUUCCUGGUGUAGCGGUGAAAUGCGCAGAUAUCAGGAGGAACACCGAUGGCGAAGGCAGGUUACUGGGCAGUUACUGACGCUGAGGAGCGAAAGCAUGGGUAGCGAACAGGAUUAGAAACCCCGGUAGUCCCAUGAU
RNAcentral lists this ribosomal RNA (458 nucleotides) under uncultured organism. RNAcentral describes it as "partial 16S ribosomal RNA". It matches the Rfam family "Bacterial small subunit ribosomal RNA", at positions 335 to 801 of the family's 1533-position model. The record is from RNAcentral.